UGGUGGAGUGAUUUGUCUGGUUAAUUCCGUUAACGAACGAGACCUCGACCUGCUAAAUAGUUAGGCAUAUUCUCGGAUAUGUAAUUUCUAACUUCUUAGAGGGACUAUCGGUGCGUAGCCGAUGGAAGUUCGAGGCAAUAACA
Molecule: ribosomal RNA, 143 nt
Filed under: uncultured eukaryote
Lineage: Eukaryota
Description: partial 18S ribosomal RNA
Rfam family: Eukaryotic small subunit ribosomal RNA
Source: RNAcentral